UACGUAGGGCGCAAGCGUUGUCCGGAAUUAUUGGGCGUAAAGAGCUCGUAGGCGGUCUGUCGCGUCUGCUGUGAAAACUCGGGGCUUAACUCCGGGCCUGCAGUGGGUACGGGCAGACUAGAGUGCGGUAGGGGAGACUGGAAUUCCUGGUGUAGCGGUGAAAUGCGCAGAUAUCAGGAGGAACACCGGUGGCGAAGGCGGGUCUCUGGGCCGUAACUGACGCUGAGGAGCGAAAGCGUGGGGAGCGAACAGG
Molecule: ribosomal RNA, 253 nt
Filed under: uncultured bacterium
Lineage: Bacteria
Description: partial 16S ribosomal RNA
Rfam family: Bacterial small subunit ribosomal RNA
Source: RNAcentral